AUCGGCCUGUCCAAACAAUUGUCAAGUCUGUGUGUUAUCGAUUCGUGUAACAAAUUAAAUUAAUACAAGGUACACAUCGCCGUGAUAUAUUUUCUGGUGCGUUGUCCUUUCGCUGACGCACAACUACGGUGGAUCCAACCUUUAAUUGAAGUGGCUGGUGUUGCUUCUGGCGGUAGAACUGUCGCAUAUCACGCAGGACA
Long non-coding RNA from Drosophila erecta, 200 nucleotides. RefSeq lists it as uncharacterized. The transcript has 2 exons. The record is from RefSeq and is a predicted model, not a curated record. NCBI's taxonomy places the organism in Eukaryota, Metazoa, Arthropoda, Insecta, Diptera, Drosophilidae.